This 656-nucleotide ribosomal RNA is filed under the name uncultured Lachnospiraceae bacterium. RNAcentral's name for it is "bacterial SSU rRNA". It matches the Rfam family "Bacterial small subunit ribosomal RNA", at positions 51 to 705 of the family's 1533-position model. The record is from RNAcentral. Lineage: Bacteria; Bacillati; Bacillota; Clostridia; Lachnospirales; Lachnospiraceae.
ACACAUGCAAGUCGAACGAAACACCUUAUUUGAUUUUCUUCGGAACUGAAGAUUUGGUGAGUGAGUGGCGGACGGGUGAGUAACGCGUGGGUAACCUGCCCUGUACAGGGGGAUAACAGUCAGAAAUGACUGCUAAUACCGCAUAAGACCACAGCACCGCAUGGUGCAGGGGUAAAAACUCCGGUGGUACAGGAUGGACCCGCGUCUGAUUAGCUGGUUGGUGAGGUAACGGCUCACCAAGGCGACGAUCAGUAGCCGGCUUGAGAGAGUGAACGGCCACAUUGGGACUGAGACACGGCCCAAACUCCUACGGGAGGCAGCAGUGGGGAAUAUUGCACAAUGGGGGAAACCCUGAUGCAGCGACGCCGCGUGAGUGAAGAAGUAUCUCGGUAUGUAAAGCUCUAUCAGCAGGGAAGAAAAUGACGGUACCUGACUAAGAAGCCCCGGCUAACUACGUGCCAGCAGCCGCGGUAAUACGUAGGGGGCAAGCGUUAUCCGGAAUUACUGGGUGUAAAGGGUGCGUAGGUGGUAUGGCAAGCCAGAAGUGAAAACCCGGGGCUUAACUCUGGGACUGCUUUUGAAACUGUCAGACUGGAGUGCAGGAGAGGUAAGCGGAAUUCCUAGUGUAGCGGUGAAAUGCGUAGAUAUUAGGAGGA